UCCUGGGUGGCUCAGAUGGUAAAGUGUCUGCUUACAAUGCGGAAGACCCAGGUUCAAUCCCUGGGUGGGGAA
This 72-nucleotide transfer RNA is filed under the name Ovis aries (sheep). It matches the Rfam family "tRNA". From Rfam's summary of the family: Transfer RNA (tRNA) molecules are approximately 80 nucleotides in length. Their secondary structure includes four short double-helical elements and three loops (D, anti-codon, and T loops). Further hydrogen bonds mediate the characteristic L-shaped molecular structure. tRNAs have two regions of fundamental functional importance: the anti-codon, which is responsible for specific mRNA codon recognition, and the 3' end, to which the tRNAs corresponding amino acid is attached (by aminoacyl-tRNA synthetases). tRNAs cope with the degeneracy of the genetic code in two manners: having more than one tRNA (with a specific anti-codon) for a particular amino acid; and 'wobble' base-pairing, i.e. permitting non-standard base-pairing at the 3rd anti-codon position. The record is from Rfam by way of RNAcentral. Lineage: Eukaryota; Metazoa; Chordata; Mammalia; Artiodactyla; Bovidae.